Molecule: non-coding RNA, 444 nt
Organism: Lepisosteus oculatus (spotted gar)
Lineage: Eukaryota; Metazoa; Chordata; Actinopteri; Semionotiformes; Lepisosteidae
Source: RefSeq, a predicted model, not a curated record
UAAAACAUACUGACCACACAGAAAACAAGAGUUUUAUACUUCAUUACAGUAACCAGAUGCUGAAUCAACGUCAGCAUUUCUUUUUUGGUCAGAUUGUGGGUUUAAACUUUGUUAAGUUUAAACAAAUGUGACAAAAGUUGCUUUUUUCUUUUUUCAGCUCUUAUUUGUUACAUCCUGUGUGUGUGUUAAUUCUUAUGUUUCAAAUGUUUGCAGUGCAACAAUUCCCAAGGUGUGAGCACAGGGAAACAUGGUGAAGAUGUUAUGCCAGUGUUUCACUAGAGUUCUCCACAAGUGAUUAUGUUCAUGCAGUUCCUGUGCUGACCCAGCCCUGUGGCCAGGCUGGCAGACUCACCUGAGCUGGUCAGUGAAUGAAUGUGGUCGUUCCCCAGCCAGAACUCUGACUGCUGGUUACCAAACCCUCGCUUGUAAGAGGCCCAGUCUCUG